CUAAUAUAUUUUUAACGUCUAAUUAGUUCGGGUAAUUAUUCGGAUAAUCAUUCAAAAAUGAAGACCAAAAGCUCGUUACUCUUUGUUUCCCUAUAAUUGGGGCCACAGUUGGGCUCUGUCCAUUUAUUCACUCGACCCGACUUGAAAUUGAUUUUCCAAUUUCUUUUUUUCCGCCACACCAAGAAUUCAAACAAUUUAAACAAGGUUUUGGACAUAUCCAGAAAGAAUGAAAUAUUCUCAGAAUUCUCCAUUGAUACGACAUGCUACUUUUUCCAUUCAUUCCUUUCAGGAUCAGUCGCGGUCUUACAAACUCUACCGGUGGUAUGGACGAAUCCGUUGCUUCAUACAAAUGUGUAAAAGAUGCUAGCCGCACUUAAAAGCCGAGUACUCUACCGUUGAGUUAGCAACCCGAAUAAAAGAAUUAGAAUGUGUAGAUACAAUCAGAAUCCCAAUAAAAUAAAUAAAGAGGUUGAAUUGCACGGCGUAAUCACAACAUUGAAUUUGAAAUGGCAAAACAAAUUGUAUCAUACAAAAAAAAAACUUCUUGUAUUACAGAAAAUCCAAUGAACCCAUUCCUUGAAUGAAAUCAAUCAAAUCUAUGGCACGGAGAAAAAUAGAUCCAUUUAUCCACGAUCGAAUUAUAUUUAUUCGAUACACUGUUGUCAAUAUGAGUAUUUGAGAAAAGAAUACAAUAGAGAACUAGAAAAAAAUAAAAUAUUGUAAAUUUUAAUAAAAAAAAUAAGGACUUGUGUUGGAUUGGCACUACAUAGCUAAUCGACAUAUAGACAAAUAAGGGAUGUAGACGUAAGAAAAAAGUAAUAAAGAAAAAAAAAGAAGAAGUAGAAAAAAGCUCGAAUUUAGUCAAUCAAUCAAUAUAAGUAAAAGAAAAAAGCUUAAUCCCCCUUUUUAUUUGUUCAUAGAAAUCCAACUAACCCCCAUUACCAUUAAUGGUAAUACCCAAAAUCGAAAGUAGGAAUAACAAAUUAAAAGAGAAUAGCAGAGAAAAGACUAUACAAAGCUCUCUACAAGUGAUCUCCACCUUCUUUAUUUAUAUAUUUCUUAUAUAUUUCAUUUUGAUAUAUUUCAUUAAAGGUAAGUUCCAUAAGAACCCCCGCUUUCUUUGAAAUAUCAUGAACAAUUCCUGUAGGCUGAGCACCUAUUUUAAGGAAAUAUAGAAUAACAUGAACAUUUAAAUAGGUUUGAUUCUUUAUCGGGUCAUAAAACCCACUUUUCGAAUAUCUCUUCCUUCUCUUCUAGAUCGAACAUCAAUUGCAAUGAUUCAAUAAAUGGCUCAUUGGGGUAGAUGAACAAUACACCCCCAGAAACAUAUAAGAAGUUUUCUCCUCGUAUGGCUCAAGAAAAUUUGAAAUUAUAUCUAUGUAUAGAAUGAUAAGGUCAAAUAUAUCCAUAAAAUCAUCAAAUCAACUAUGACUUUCUUAAGGUAGCCAAAUGUCUCGUCAUCUAAUUAGUGACGCGCAUGAAUGAAUUAAUGAGAUUCCCACUGUCCCUGUCUACUAUCUAGUGAAACCACAGCCAAGGGAACAGGCUUAGCAGAAUCAGCAGGGGAAGAAGACCCUGUUGAGCUUGACUCUAGUCUGACUUUGUGAAAUGACUUGAGAGGUGUAGUACAAGUGGGAGCUGAAAACGGCGAAAGUGAAAUACAACUACUUUUAACGUUAUUUUACUUAUGCCAUGAAUCGGAAGUGGGGCACUGCCACUCUUUUCGGACCCAAGGCCUGCCUCGACUGGCCGAUCUGGGUGGAAGAUAUUGUUAGGUUGGAGUUUGGCUGGGGUGACACAUCUGUUAAAAGAUAACGUAGGUGUCCUAAGAUGAGCUCAACGAGAACAUAAAUCUUGUGUGGAAAAAAAGGGUAAAAGCUCGGUUGAUUCUGAUAUCUAGUAUGAAUACGAACCGCGAAAGAGUGGCCUAUCGAUCCUUUAGACCUUCAGAAUUUGAAGCUAAGGGUGUCAGAAAAGUUACCACAGGGAUAACUGGCUUGUGGCAGCCAAGCGUUCAUAGCGAUGUUGCUUUUUGAUCCUUUGAUGUUGGCUCUUCCUAUCAUUGUGAAGCAGAAUUCACCAAGUGUUGGAUUGGUCAUCCACCAAUAGGGAACAUAAGAUGGGUUUAGACCAUUGUGAGACAGGUUAGUUUUACCCUACUGAUGAUAGUGUCACAAUAGUAAUUCAACCUAGUACGAGAGGAACUCUUGAUUCGCACAAUUAGCCAUUGCACUUGGUUGAAAAGCCAAUGGUGUGAAACCACCGUGUGCUGGAUUAUAACUGAACACUCUAAGUCAUAAUCUGGGCUAGAAGCGAUGCAUGCACCGUCGCCCGUUUGCCGACCUACAGUAAGGGCCUUGUCCCCCAAAGGUAUGUGUCAUUGUCCAAGCCCGUGCGGUGGACAUACCGUGUGGGUCGCCUUAAAGUUCAAUUCCUACCGAGAGACGGGUAGAAUCCUUUGUACAUGACUCAAAUACGUGAUGGGGUAUUGUAAGUGGUAGAGUGGCCUUGCUACCACGAUCCACUCAGAUUCAGCCAU
This 2539-nucleotide ribosomal RNA is filed under the name Ziziphus jujuba (common jujube). RNAcentral's name for it is "eukaryotic LSU rRNA". The stretch from base 1286 to 2539 matches the Rfam family "Eukaryotic large subunit ribosomal RNA", at positions 1889 to 3385 of the family's 3401-position model. The record is from RNAcentral. Lineage: Eukaryota; Viridiplantae; Streptophyta; Magnoliopsida; Rosales; Rhamnaceae.